UUAGGUGGAAUUGUAACAUGGAUUCUGAGCAACUAGGUCAAGAAUGUAGACUUCAGAAAUGACAGUGCCAAAUAGACUCCCUCAAGUUCUUAUGAAUCUAUUGAAGUUGAGGUUUCACUGGUCCUCAAGCCAUCCUUCUUUCUGCCCAUCCUCCAGUAUCGUAUGUUUGGCCUUCAGAGAGAAUCACGGUAAAACCUCCAACCCUCAAUUCUAGCAAUGGGAACACAGGAAAGUAGAUAGUGUAGUACUGCUAUCAAAUAGGACUAGAGAACUGAAUUCUAUAGUCAUUAUGUCAUUUGCUUUGCUGAAAAUGGAAUUGGAAACAGAAUUUUUGAGUAUACAUACAGGAAUAUUAAUAAAGUCUCAUCGUGGAAUGUACAAUGAGAAAGUGAAAUACAAUAUUCAUUCAAUUAAGGUCUGUAGGCAAAAUAUUGUCCUUUGGGAUAUAGAGAAAACCUGGGAUAUUGAACUGUAUGUAUGUCACAGGAAUGAACCUGGGAAAAAAAUAUUAUCUACAAGAGUCUCCUCCACUCUAUGUUGCUAAAUCUUUUCUAGCCAUGCUAAGCCCCUAACUUUGUCCAUUCAGAGCAAGUAACCCCUAAUGAAACAAAGAGAAAUCUCUACCUUUAGAGAGAUGUAGUGUGUAAAGGUUUCCACACUUAAACAGGAGAUUCUCCUGAAAGUGUCACCCUCAAAUUUGGUCAAUGUAAGGAAAGCUGUUUAGCAGGUAGACCAUGGCGGUUUUCAGUGACAUCAUCAUUAGGCCUCCCUGAAAUAUCUCUUGUUUCCUGGAAAGCCUUAGCUUCUUCUGUGAUGUCACAAGUGUCCUGACUGCAACCGCCUCUCAGAUAUCCCUUCAGGAACUCUAGGGUUCACUAAUUGGCCUUUAAUGCAUUGUAUACAGCCAUUUGAGAGGGAGAACACAGAGGAUGAAGUGAUCAGACAUGGGGAAUAUGAAGCUGGCCUUCUGUCUUGUGACAUCCAUGCUGAACCCCAUCACGUAUACCUUAAUGAACCAAGAAGUCAAGGCAGCACUGAGAAGAACUCUGGAUCUGAUGAAAGUUCUCAUAAUAAGAAGACAGCAGUCUAGCAUGGCUUCCCUCUGUGAGAUUCCACUAAGCUGCUGACUCAGACAGAAGCAGGCAUCAUCUAGUCAAACCACGGUGGAGCUUGGGGACUCUGAUGGAAGAAGAGAAUGAAAAGGAUUAUGGCCUCUAAGGAUAUAGGCACUCCACAGGCUUUGUCAUCAUGCAGGUACCGAACAGCUAGUAUUGGGCCUUCCCAAAACAUGUUGUCUGUAGAUGGGAUAUCUGUUUUUAAAAUUCUUUAUUUAUUUACUCACUUUACAUCCCAAAAUGGGUAGUCCAUCUUCAUGGGAUGCCAACACUCAUUGUCCGGGGCACUUGUAAAAAGACAAAGCUACACAUUUGCUACCUAUGUCCUGGGAGCUCAGGUUCAGUCUAUGUUCACUCUCUGGUCGGUGGUUCAGUCUUUGGCAGACCCCAAGUGUCACUGUGAGUUGACUCGACUGGUCUUGCUGUGGAGUCCCACAUAUCAUCUGGGCCUUGAUUCUUCACCUUAUUUUUUAAAGACUCCCCAAGCUCCAGCUCUUGUUUUGUGGUGAAUCUUUACACUUAUUUCUCUCAGCUGUUGGGUGGAGUCAUAGAGAGGUCAAUUAUGCUAGGAUUGUGUCUGCAAGCACGGUAGAGUAUCUUUAAUAGUGUCAGGUAUCGGUGAUUG
Non-coding RNA from Rattus norvegicus (Norway rat), 1740 nucleotides. The record is from RefSeq and is a predicted model, not a curated record. Lineage: Eukaryota; Metazoa; Chordata; Mammalia; Rodentia; Muridae.